UUUAAAUUGGUGUCCCAAUGGGAGCUCCGAGACGACCCCGUGCUACUGCUUUCAGUGUCCUGCGGAAGGAAUGUGAACCAUUUAGAAAUUUGGCUUCAUUAAUUAGAAUGCAACCAUGUGGAGCUAAUUACGCGGGGGUGUAUUCCUUACCAGAACAAGCUCAAGCGCCCUGGUCUCCGCAUCCGUGGUAAGCUCCUUUGUUACCGAGUCCACCUUGUACCGGGCCCUGACAUAGUUCCUGGUCUGCUUGUCACCGUAUUUGUCGAAGCGGGGUGGUAGGCCUUGCUCGGCACGCUCCGCGUCCUCCUUGUCCCAUAUAGGGUCCGCUACUCUGUAACCGUCGGGACCGAGUUGGUGGAUCCCUAAGUUCAACUCUCGCAUUUCUUUCCCCCACU
This 395-nucleotide long non-coding RNA is filed under the name Hordeum vulgare. Its description in RNAcentral is "long non-coding RNA (HVUL_LNC003852)". Lineage: Eukaryota; Viridiplantae; Streptophyta; Magnoliopsida; Poales; Poaceae. The record is from RNAcentral.